GAAAUGCGAUAAGUAAUGUGAAUUGCAGAAUUCAGUGAAUCAUCGAAUCUUUGAACGCACAUUGCGCCCGCCAGUAUUCUGGCGGGCAUGCCUGUUCGAGCGUCAUUACAACCCUCAGGCCCCCGGGCCUGGCGUUGGGGAUCGGCGGAAGCCCCCUGCGGGCACAACGCCGUCCCCCAAAUACAGUGGCGGUCCCGCCCAGCUUCCAUUGCGUAGUAGCUAACACCUCGCAACUGGAGAGCGGCGCGGCCACGCCGUAAAACACCCAACUUCUGAAUGUUGACCUCGAAUCAGGUAGGAAUACCCGCUGAACUUAAGC
This 319-nucleotide unclassified non-coding RNA is filed under the name plant metagenome. RNAcentral's name for it is "partial contains 5.8S ribosomal RNA, internal transcribed spacer 2, and large subunit ribosomal RNA". The stretch from base 1 to 105 matches the Rfam family "5.8S ribosomal RNA", at positions 50 to 154 of the family's 154-position model. The record is from RNAcentral.